CAAUAGCGUAUAUUAAAGUUGUUGCAGUUAAAAAGCUCGUAGUUGGAUUUCUGGUAGGAGUGACCGUGCCAGACUUGAUUGUCUGUGUAUUGUGUUGUCUCCAGCCAUCCUUGUGGAGAACUUUUCUUGCAUUAAUUUGUAGGGAUUGGGACCCGCAUCGUUUACUGUGAAAAAAUUAGAGUGUUUAAAGCAGGCAAUCGCUUGAAUACAUUAGCAUGGAAUAAUAAGAUAGGACUUUGGUACUAUUUUGUUGGUUUGCAUACCAAAUUAAUGAUCAACAGGAACAGUUUGAGGAUAUUCGUAUGAACAUGUCAGAGGUGAAAUUCUUGGAUUUUGAUCAGACGAACUACUGCGAAAGCAUUUAUCAAGGAUGUUUNCAUUA
Molecule: ribosomal RNA, 382 nt
Filed under: uncultured eukaryote
Lineage: Eukaryota
Description: partial 18S ribosomal RNA
Rfam family: Eukaryotic small subunit ribosomal RNA
Source: RNAcentral